This 497-nucleotide ribosomal RNA is filed under the name uncultured bacterium. RNAcentral describes it as "partial 16S ribosomal RNA". It matches the Rfam family "Bacterial small subunit ribosomal RNA", at positions 28 to 507 of the family's 1533-position model. The record is from RNAcentral.
GAUGAACGCUGGCGGCGUGCCUAAUACAUGCAAGUCGAGCGAACAGACGAGGAGCUUGCUCCUCUGACGUUAGCGGCGGACGGGUGAGUAACACGUGGAUAACCUACCUAUAAGACUGGGAUAAUUUCGGGAAACCGGAGCUAAUACCGGAUAAUAUAUUGAACCGCAUGGUUCAAUAGUGAAAGACGGCUUUGCUGUCUCUUAUAGAUGGAUCCGCGCCGCAUUAGCUAGUUGGUAAGGUAACGGCUUACCAAGGCAACGAUGCGUAGCCGACCUGAGAGGGUGAUCGGCCACACUGGAACUGAGACACGGUCCAGACUCCUACGGGAGGCAGCAGUAGGGAAUCUUCGGCAAUGGGCGAAAGCCUGACGGAGCAACGCCGCGUGAGUGAUGAAGGUCUUCGGAUCGUAAAACUCUGUUAUUGGGGAAGAACAGAUGUGGAAGUAACUAUGCACGUCUUGACGGUACCUAAUCAAAAAGCCACGGCUAACUACGUG